Orbicella faveolata is the source of this 1489-nucleotide long non-coding RNA. The record is from RefSeq and is a predicted model, not a curated record. NCBI's taxonomy places the organism in Eukaryota, Metazoa, Cnidaria, Anthozoa, Scleractinia, Merulinidae.
AAAGUGACCGCGAUCAACUCCGGGUACAUGUAGAUAUUCAUUUUUUUUUUUUUUCGGCUAAUGGAUAAGUCCGCAUUGGAAAGUAACCGCGAUCGACUCCUGGUGCCUGUAGAUUUUUUUCCUUUCUUUUUUCAAUGUUUUUAGCGAUACAAUAAAUAAAUGCUAUGUGUUUAUAUCAUUUCGCCCGCUCUAUGUGCAUUUACCGUACUUCAACGACUUCCGUUUCUGUAAAAUCCAUACAAAGUCCGCAUCCAGUGAGAGCUGUUGCUCAUCGAUUUUACGUUUCUGGAUGUUCUCAUUUUCGGUGGCCGGGUCUUCUUUAACUUAUAUCUUUUAAUUUAGACCUUUAAAACAGCUUAUUUUAAUUAAGAUGGACAGCAAUUUAAAAGUAAGCCGCGAGCGUACCUCAUUUGCAUAAUGUUUCCAACCCAUGGAGCGAGCGACACAUUUCCCCAUAACUCACGAUAACUCGUGUUGCACAUGCGCAAUUCACGAGUUAAAAAUGGGUGUUCAAACAAUAAUUUAGAAAAUAAGUCCCUGAAGAAAUUGACUUGUUUUGUGCUAAGUCUUGACAAUGUGCGCCUCGCAAAUAUGCACUGCUGGGAUAAUUGACUUGUUUGGAAUAACCUUGACAGUUAUAAGAUUAGCAUUUUAGAAAUGUCAUAUAAGAAUACUAUUUUAAGUGAAUUAAUUUGACGUUUUUAGUUUAGAACAAUGCAGUAAAGUCCAAAAUUAAGGCAGGCUCUCGUACAAGCUGUAAAACAUCUGAAUUUUCUUCAGUUCCCGGCUUCAACUACAUAACUUCAAACAAUCUCUUUUUUCUGCUUAAGUGGAUCUACAGUUAGGCUCUUUUGCUUGUUAGGUUUAAACAAGGAAGAUAUCGUUAAUUAUUCAUCACGCAGGUGUGCGCAUUCAAAUUAAAGAAAGCGUCUCUCGUCCACUUUCGUCCAACCAGAAAGGAGUUUAUCCUGCAGCAGAACUAAACAGGUUGAGACUGGAGCGUUUGCUCUCAGAAAAAAACGAAAAAAAAACCCAGGUAAAAUGAGCCUUAAUUAUCAAAUACUCAGUUUUCUGCUAUACGAAAUGUAUUGUUGAUGUUUUAAUAUAUGAUAUAUGCGGAAGUUUCUUACCAGUCCAAGCUUACUUCUCAGUGUUUACCACAAGAGGAAGUUGCAGUUUACACAAGCAAGAUAAACCCUUCUGAAAGAGAAGUUAUCCUGCAGCAGGAAUCUUUAGUUUGAGACCGAAGAGUUUGCUUCCGAGAAAAAAUACAACAAAACAGUGUAGUCGGUUUACCACAAGAGGAAGACACAGUUUGCACAUAGAAGGCAAAGCCUUCUGGCAAGUUAUUCUUAAUUAGUACUUUUUUAACAUUAGGUAUUAUAUAAUUCUAAUAUUUUUUGGAUGAAAAAAAGUCAUCUUGUUUCCAGUGUCAGUUUUCCCAUUGUUUCGGUACUAUUCGGACAUUACGCUUGAAAAUUAUGAAUUU